This 245-nucleotide long non-coding RNA is filed under the name Elaeis guineensis (African oil palm). Its description in RNAcentral is "long non-coding RNA (EGUI_LNC001486)". The record is from RNAcentral. Lineage: Eukaryota; Viridiplantae; Streptophyta; Magnoliopsida; Arecales; Arecaceae.
AUGCAGGAAAAAGAAAAAAAGAAAAAACCUGUAGCAAAUAUUUAAUAAUUCAAUAUGUCAAGAGAGAGAAACUCUGGGAGUUUCAGAGAAAGAAAUCUCCCAUUGUUCUUCCACCGAUUCUCACUGACCCCCUUCCACCGAUUCUCUGGCCAUUCCAACCAUCCUUCUCACCAAUGCUCUUACCUACAGUCUUCUCUGGACAAACCCUCUCAUUUCGGAACGUUGGGCUCGAGACCGAGAACCUC